This 2597-nucleotide ribosomal RNA is filed under the name Triticum aestivum (bread wheat). Its description in RNAcentral is "partial small subunit ribosomal RNA". Lineage: Eukaryota; Viridiplantae; Streptophyta; Magnoliopsida; Poales; Poaceae. The record is from RNAcentral.
CAACAAUUUCUCUAAUAACCGAGAACAUCGACCCGUCAACACCGGCAAACCAGGAGGCAGCUUUGCCAUAUCUAGGGACGGCUCCACCGGCAAACCAGGAGGCAGCUUUGCCAUAUCUAGGGACGGCUCCAUCUGGGGGAGGUCGGGCGGGCGGGCCUGUGCGCCAGAUCUCAGAUCUAUGGCUUGUUUCUUUCUUGAUAUAUACUAUAUAUGCGUAGUGUCAUUGUGGAUGUGGGGCCACGCGGCGUGAUACGCGUUGUUAAAUUACCGCCUGAAGUGGCCAGGUACAGGCAGCUAAUCUCCUCGUCGUCCUCUCCUUUAUAAAUCGAAAAAUUCCCCUUGCCCCCGGCACAAAGGUCCUCUUCUCUUGUAGGUCGCGCCCCCGUGAACCUGGACGCCAUGGGUGCUUCUCUUUUGAACGAUUGUUCGGAUCGUGGGUCUCCGUGUACCCUUCUCCGAUCCCCGUUUGGUACUCAAUCCAUCGACCCAGGACUUCUGCACUGAAUGGGCCUAUCUGCACUACAAUGCACCAUCCACAAAGAAUGCCAGGUGGGUUUCUGGUACACUACGCCAUGGAAGCCCAUUUCCGGCCGAGCUGCCCUCCUCGUCGGCCGAGCUGGGAUGGUGCACUCUGCACCGGCCCAGCAUCAAAAGCCCUUCGCAACGGCCCGACCUCUUCUAUCAAUCGAAGCGACCUGGGUGGCGGCUCCUGCUUCGCUCUCGCAAUCUUCCCUCCUCCUCCUCCUCCGAAGAGCGACGGCGGCGGCUGCGGGCGAACGGCGGAUCCACCGGCGGAAGGCGAACAGAGAAGCCACAGGGAGAAGGCAAGAAGGGUUUGGAAGAAGGCAAUCCGCGAGUCCACCCGCAGAAGGCUAGCCGCGAGUCCACCUGCAGAAGGCUAGCCGCGAACCCACUGGAAGAAGGCAACCAGAAGAACCCCCUUGGUUGAAUCCAUUCGGAGCCUACUCUAGGGUUUGGAGACACGAGAAACAAGGCGUCUGAACUGUCGGGCCGCCCUACUGGUCAUUUGGGUUUGAGUGCACUUUGCUAUCUCUGGUGUCUAAACUACUGGAUUUGAGUCUGUCCAAGGUGUUCUGAGUGAAUAUUGCAAUCUGGUUCUUACUAAUGGCCGCUGAAAUUCACCGAAGCCAGUCACUACUUGACAUGGAUGCAUUUAUCGCCCAUGAGCGUCAUGCACAUGCCCUUACAGAGGAGAGAGCCAAUAGUCCUCAGAACAGGCAGAGGUCCAUUCGUGAUGUCUUCUGCAUCAAUCUGUCUGCAGAUCCAUCUUCUGAACAACUAACUGCGUACUAUGCGGAAAGCAAUGCACGUUCACUCAAUAUCUCUUCAUUAAGAGUGCCUGGAAGGUUGAGAGAUGGCACUCUUAUCGAAGUACCAGUUACUGCGGCAACACCGAAGAAUAUUGAGGACACGAGUCAUCACAUCGUGGCUUUCCAUCGAGAGUCAGAUAGAGCUGUGGCAGAAGUUUUAGUGGAGGAUUAUAGUGGAUAUGUUGUUGCGUCCAGAUUUAUCCCGCCUAAAGUUAAGAAGGCAACAGUACGUUUUUGUCACAUUGGCGGGGCCAAGCUGGCCGCAAGGUUUCAGCCAGUGCAUCCAACCAAGUAUGGUCCAGCUUAUGCGCAUCUCGACAAGGUCAGGCUUGGAGUUGGCAUUGUCCCUCAGAUGGUUACUUUUCUGGAGAAGCUUAGCAAGAACCCUGAGCAGGCUGCUACCCAGUAUGGGUAUAUCAUGUUGGCGACCCUUUAUGUUUUGGUCUCUGAAGGCCGGAGGUUUUGGGUUAUCCAGGAAUGGAAUGUAGCGAAUAUCCAGGGUUUCAAACAGGAGCUUUAGCCCCGUCGCUUUUUCUUUCUUGUCAAAAAAUGUCUUGCUCUUAGCAAGUGUUGUUAUUUGGCUUAUCUGGUUAUCCUUGAGAGGACGCAGCUUGCUGUGAAUGCAACAGCUGCUAUAACUUCAAGUGAUGCAAAGGCUAAUGCCGUGGAGGAAUGGUGUCAAAGGCAAGAAGAUGUCGAUGCAACUGGACUGGUGUUCUAUCAACCUGGAGUCGACAUAGACCUCAACUUACUUGCAGGUGGUCAGUUGCUUCUCCUAAGGCACGACUGUGUCCUCUGCGACAAAGUUCUCUUGCGUUCCAACGGUUAUGAUGGCUACUGGGCGAAGGACAUCCAAAUCGAGGCGUCAGAAAUACCUCUGGAUCCUGAUAAGUGGGAGUUGCUCUGAUAGCACAUCCAAGUCUAGACCACCAACCUCUUUUUGUGUCGGUCUGAAAUUGUUUUGUCAUUCGUAUACUUCUUCUGCCCUGUUGAGGGUUCUAAUCAUUGUUGUUCAGCUCUGAUGUGUUCCUGUAGUGCCCUCGUUGUGGCUGCUAGCGUGUAUCUUCUUUCUUGACUAGUGUAUGUUCCUGUACUGGUCCUUACUGUAGUGCCCUUACUGAGGCUUUAUAUCCAUGUACUCGCUACAUCGUGAAUUUGUGAAUAUAUGAAGGCAGGAUGAAUAUCUGAGGUAGAAUGUGCAGGGUUUCUCAGUUUGUGUAAACUAGUUCUACCAUCAAUGACAUCUUGUGCCAUGGUCAAUGAGAG